Long non-coding RNA from Biomphalaria glabrata, 1610 nucleotides. RefSeq lists it as uncharacterized. The record is from RefSeq and is a predicted model, not a curated record. The transcript is spliced from 2 exons. Lineage: Eukaryota; Metazoa; Mollusca; Gastropoda; Planorbidae.
GUAUCACACCCACAUUUGUUCAUUAUCUUAUAUAUUGUUUCCCAAACUGACUAAUUUUUCAUUGAUUCAUGAUUAGUUAAGUGCAAUAAAUAAUUAUUUUAAGUUUCAACUUGAUCUGAGAGUGGGUGUGUGAGAAGAAAUGUGUAAAAUUAUCUAAGGGGACCACACUCUACAUAUUCAUCCAUAUCUGUGAAUACUGAGGGAUUACUUUCCCUUGUUGAUAUCGAAAAGAUAAUUACCAUUAAUUAAUAAACUAAUUGGUUACAUUUUUUUCAUUGAUUCAUGUCUUUGUCUAAGCCAAUUAAUAAUUGUGCAGUUUCAACUUGAUUCGAGAAAGGGUGUGGGAGGAAUAACGUGUACAAACUUUUUACUAGACAGACAGUGAGUGGAGAUAAGCUUUUGAAAAAGCUAACCAUGUAUAGUUUUAUUUGCCAUAGAUGAGCAUCUCUAAUAGAUGUCUGGUGUCUCCUUAAUAAGGUCCUUAAUGUCUUUGAACUUAUAAGAAAGACCCAUGUGGAAAUGAGUCUAGAAACCUCAGCUUAGGCUUCUAAAUCUCUUAUGAUUUAUGAUUGAUGUUUCAGGACCAAUACCUUGGUUCAUGGUGACUGAGGUGUUUGUGCAGGUCCUAGGUUAGCCACUGUCAUUGUUUCUGUGGUGAUCAACUGGCUGUGCAACUUUGCUGUUGGCUUAGUGUUUCCCAAUUUACAGAAGUCACUAGAAACAUUAUUUCCUUUUUGCCUUUCUCCCUCUUGCUGUUGUUGUUCUUCAUCUUCACCUAUAUGUUUGUCCCAGAGACCAAAGGCAAAAGUAUUUCUGAGAUUACCCAGCUGUUUAAAUCUCCCACUAUGGAUAGAUCAGGAUCCAGAAAUUCCUACAAAAGCUCAAAGAACAGAUACAGCACCCAAGUCUUGAUAAUUGAUCCACCUCUCUCAGAAAAAGGGACGGAAUAUUAUAUUGAGUCCAGCUACUUAUAGAAUUUAGGUGGCUGAACAAUUUUGGCUGCUGUUUUAUUUUUUGAAAUGUUAGUCUUUUGAUUUAGUUUCAUGUUGGAUAAAUUUGUUAUUUAUAACAUUUUAUUAUAAUAUAUACAGGGCUUUCAUUUUUAUAUCAAUGCAAAUACAAUUAAUCAGUUUUAAAAAAUAUAUUCAUCAUUUUAAAUGACAACUUUUGUUAUAUUGCUCUAAAUACAUAUGAUCAUGUAUCAACAUACCUCAAUAGAAUUGUGAUAACACACCACAACAGUUGUUUAUGAGAUACCAUUUAAUACAUUUAAAGGAGGCCAGAGACUUUCUUCCAAUAAAGUGAUUUAAAACUAUGUACCCCAUCAGUAUUUCAUAUUAUAUUUAUAAAACUAAUUAAAGCAGCUUUAUUCUGGCUGACAAUGUCUGUUCUGGAUGUGGCAAAUCUGGAUGUGGCAAAAUAUGUAAGUUGCAGCUGGGGCUAGGUAGCCAUGGGAAAUACUGCUUUCAUUAAAUCUUCAGACUUGAAGACAAGCCUUAUUAUUAUUAAUCUGGUCAGUGAUUUCAGUGCAAUAUGAACACUAAUGUUUUGUGUAACUAUUUUUCAAUAAGAUUGUUUUCUAUUAAAAAUAUUUUUAUUAUAAGUUUCAA